This 497-nucleotide ribosomal RNA is filed under the name uncultured bacterium. Its description in RNAcentral is "partial 16S ribosomal RNA". It matches the Rfam family "Bacterial small subunit ribosomal RNA", at positions 28 to 507 of the family's 1533-position model. The record is from RNAcentral.
GAUGAACGCUGGCGGCGUGCCUAAUACAUGCAAGUCGAGCGAACAGACGAUGAGCUUGUUCCUCUGACGUUGGCGGCUGACGGGUGGGUAACAAGUGGAUAACCUACCUAUAAGACUGGGAUAACUACGGGAAGCCGGAGACACUACCGGCUCAUAUAUUCAACCGCAUGAAUCAAUGGUUAUAGACGGCUUUGCUGUCUCAUAUAGAUGAAUCCGCGCCGCAUUAGCUAGUUGGUAAGGUACCGGCCUACCAAGGCAACGAUGCGUAGCCGACCUGAGAGGGUGAUCAGCCACACUGGAACUGAGACACGGUCCAGACUCCUACGGGAGGCAGCAGUAGGGAAUCUUCCGCAAUGGGCGAAAGCCUGACGGAGCAAUGCCGCGUGAGUGAUGAAGGUCUUCGGAUCGUAAAACUCUGUUGUUAGGGAAGAACAAAUGUGUAAGAAACUAUGGACGUCUUGACGGUACCUAAUCAAAAAGCCACGGCUAACUACGUG